RNAcentral lists this ribosomal RNA (466 nucleotides) under uncultured bacterium. Its description in RNAcentral is "partial 16S ribosomal RNA". It matches the Rfam family "Bacterial small subunit ribosomal RNA", at positions 28 to 505 of the family's 1533-position model. The record is from RNAcentral.
GACGAACGCUGGCGGCGUGCUUAACACAUGCAAGUCGAACGGAAAGGCCCUGCUUUUGUGGGGUGCUCGAGUGGCGAACGGGUGAGUAACACGUGAGUAACCUGCCCUUGACUUUGGGAUAACUUCAGGAAACUGGGGCUAAUACCGGAUAGGAGCUCCUGCUGCAUGGUGGGGGUUGGAAAGUUUCGGCGGUUGGGGAUGGACUCGCGGCUUAUCAGCUUGUUGGUGGGGUAGUGGCUUACCAAGGCUUUGACGGGUAGCCGGCCUGAGAGGGUGACCGGCCACAUUGGGACUGAGAUACGGCCCAGACUCCUACGGGAGGCAGCAGUGGGGAAUAUUGCACAAUGGGCGGAAGCCUGAUGCAGCAACGCCGCGUGCGGGAUGACGGCCUUCGGGUUGUACACCGCUUUCGCCUGUGACGAAGCGUGAGUGACGGUAAUGGGUAAAGAAGCACCGGCGAACUACG